Molecule: long non-coding RNA, 1985 nt
Organism: Magnolia sinica
Lineage: Eukaryota; Viridiplantae; Streptophyta; Magnoliopsida; Magnoliales; Magnoliaceae
Exons: 2
Source: RefSeq, a predicted model, not a curated record
ACCUGCUUGAUGGUCUGAUUUAAUGUAUGAUUGUAGCCUGUCGUAUUAGUGGACCUGCCAGAUUUAUGUACUGGUGGGGCAACUUUAUGCAUUUAGUGAAGCUAUAACAUGGCAUGGAUGGUACAUUUGGUACAUUUAGAAGGUAAUUUAUGCCAUUUUUGGUGCAACUGUGAAGCUAUAACAUGGCAUGGAUGGUAAAAACAACAAUUGUUUAGUUCAUGUUUGCUAGCCCUACGCAACACUAAAGCCCAGUGUGAAAAUGCUCCUGCUGGAUCAUAACCCUGAUGAUAUAACAUAAUAAACUAUUCCUCUAUCUUGCAUGAUCGGGCGAAAGGAAGGGAUAAAGAAUAACAAACAAGAAGAAAAAGAUAGAAUUGAACAACCGUACAGGCAUCUUUUGUGCAUUGCAUACGGCUUUGCAAUGGAAUUUCUUUUUCCCUUCCAUCGAAGAAAGAGACAAAUAGAAUCCAUCAGACCCAGAUCGUUGAAUGAUCCAUUUACCAUCCUUCCUUAUGUAGGAGUCAAAAAGUUAUUGCAUUAACCAAUUUUGUAUAUCUUUGCUAGAAUUAUAUCUUAAUAUGCUUGCUACAGUACAGUAUCUGUUACCAUUCAUGGACAGUACCCUGUGAAAUUCCUUUGCUUAUGGGUUUAAUGAUCCUUGCAAAUAUAAUGAAAAAUACACCCAAUGGUUAGAAUGGCCACUCACUCAUUCUGUCCCAACAGGCGUCUAAGAGGAGCGAUCCUAUAUUGUGGCAGCAUAUUGCUCAUAUUGUGGCAGCAUCUUAUGCUCCAAACAACAGAAAGCUCCUAAAUAGGCUCCACAAUCUUCACUUGAGUGCUGUUUUCUGAGAAGGUUGGAAAUUUUUUUCCAGACUAAUAGUGCCACUUUGGUACUUGACUUUAUAUCUUCUCACACUUACAAGGGAUCAUAUUCGAAGACAUGUUGCUGUUAAGAGUGGAAAGUUUUUAAGUUGUUGUGUAGGGAAUCUUACCACCUUGAGUUCCAUAUAAUUUCAAUUUCUCUUUAAUAUACUUUCUUUUGACCUGAUUAAGAGAAAACGAAAGUGAAGGGUAUUUUGGUGACUGCAUGUGUUAGGUCAAUUUGUUAUUGCCUUCUUUUGCAUGUUGUAAUGAUUGUCUUGUUUCAUGUCUUAGACGAUGCUAUUUGGGUGACAUCAUCCUUUCAAUUUUUUUUUCUCUACUAUGAAAUAUAUUGCUUGAGUUACUUCUCUUCAAAACUUAUUGGAUCACAAUUAUUCCACGAUUUUUGUUUUUGUAUUACUAGUGAACUGACAUGUUGGUUUCUAGUUUGUUCUCUCUUUUCUUCUUUGGAUAAUUGAAAUUUUUGUUUUGUUAUUGGCAAUAUCUUGAAAUUUUUAUUUGAUGCGGUGCUUGUAACCACUUUCCAGUCCCUUCAAUCACUGUUAAUGUUUCUUUUACCACUGGAAGAAAAACAAUAUCCUUUCACCACAAGUUUGUUUAGCAUUCUAACUUGGGGGCCGAUAAUCUCUUAGUAUUUGGUUACGCACUUUGGUUAUGCACUGUGCAGGUGAAAGGAUUUCUUUUUACCAUAUUCAAAUAGCAGUCAAUCCUAAGGCAAGUUGAAGGUUUAGUCAAAGCACCCUACCAAAAUAACAUUGUUCAUUCAAGAUUUGUUUAAUUUUGGAAGUUAGCUCCAUCCUGUUAAAGAAGCAGUUUGCUGUAGGAAUUGGGGAUCGUCCUGUUGUGUUUGUUACUCAUAGGUUUUCAUUGGAUUUCAUUUCUUUUUUUUAUGUCAACAUAUUUUAUGCAUUUCAUGAUCUAUGACCUUUCUCAUAGCAUGAUGUCAGACAUUGUUACUCUCUUAGGGUGGCUGCUAUAUUGAACUUUUUCUUUUGUACUUGAUUGAAUAGAAUUUUCUUAGAUAUGCCUUCUCAGAUACAUUUUCGAGGAAUAUGGGUGUCAAAUCUAUCAUAUAUCUUAUCAAACUCAGAUGUACUCUCUUA